GACUACAGGGGUAUCUAAUCCCGUUUGCUACCUUAGCUUUCGUGUCUGAGCGUCAGAAAUGGGCCAGGAGGCCGCUUUCGCCACUGGUGUUCCUCCGCAUAUCUACGCAUUUCACCACUACACGCGGAAUUCCACCUCCCUCUACCACUCUCUAGUCUGAUAGUUUUGAACGACCUCUCCCAGUUGAGCCGGGAGCUUUCACAUCCAACUUAUCAAACCGCCUACACACGCUUUACGCCCAGUAAAUCCGGAUAACGCUCGCCUCCUACGUUUUACCGCGGCUGCUGGCACGUAGUUAGCCGAGGCUUAUUCUGAAGGUACUGUCCUUCCUCAUCCCUUCAAAAAGCACUUUACGACCCGAAGGCCUUCAUCGUGCACGCGGCGUUGCUGGUUCCCGGUUUCCCAGAUUACCAAUAUUCCCCACUGCAGCCACCCGUAGG
This 440-nucleotide ribosomal RNA is filed under the name uncultured Anaerolineaceae bacterium. RNAcentral's name for it is "partial 16S ribosomal RNA". Lineage: Bacteria; Bacillati; Chloroflexota; Anaerolineae; Anaerolineales; Anaerolineaceae. The record is from RNAcentral.